AAUAACCCUAUCUCCGACUUCUUUCUGUCGAGUUGUAUUGGUAGACGGCGCUCCCCGAUGCGUAAUGAUCCAAGCUGGGGGGAAACGGACGUCAUAGAGGGUGAUAAUCCCGUAUUGAAAAAAAAUUCAUCCAUGUGAAGCCCUUUCGACGAGUCCAGUUGUUUGGGAAUGCAGCUCAAAAUGGGUGGUAGACUUCAUAUAAGGCUAAAUAUCAGCCAGAGACCGAUAGCGCACAAGUAGAGUGAUCGAAAGAUGAAAAGCACUUUGAAAAGAGAGUCAAACAGCACGUGAAAUUGUUGAAAGGGCAGCGCUUGCCACCAGACUUGGUUGGACUAUUCGGCCUCCCGAAAAGGAGGGGUAUUUGCCGAUUGGGGGCCCGCAUCGGAUUCCACCGUUGGACAAAAGCUUAUGGAAGAUAACUAUCUUCUUAGAUUGUUGUAUCCUGAGUAUACUGAAACUAUUCUAGACCGAGGAACCCGCUCCGGCCAGGAUGUUCGCCUAAUGCUUGCUAGCGAU
RNAcentral lists this ribosomal RNA (516 nucleotides) under Thelotrema jugale. RNAcentral describes it as "LSU rRNA". It matches the Rfam family "Eukaryotic large subunit ribosomal RNA", at positions 103 to 648 of the family's 3401-position model. The record is from RNAcentral. Lineage: Eukaryota; Fungi; Ascomycota; Lecanoromycetes; Ostropales; Graphidaceae.